GACGAACGCUGGCGGUGUGCUUAACACAUGCAAGUCGAACGGAAAGGCCCUGCUUUUGUGGGGUGCUCGAGUGGCGAACGGGUGAGUAACACGUGAGUAACCUGCCCUUGACUUUGGGAUAACUUCAGGAAACUGGGGCUAAUCCCGGAUCGGAGCUCCUGUUGCAUGGUGGGGGUUGGAACGUUUCGGCGGGUGGGGAUGGACUGGCGGCUUAUCAGCUUGUUGGUGGGGUAGUGGCUUACCAAGGCUUUGACGGGUCGCCGGCCUGUGAGGGUGACCGGCCACAAUGGGACUGAGAUACGGCCCAGACGGCUACGGGAGGCAGCAGUGGGGAAUAUUGCACAAUGAGCGGAAGCCGGAUGCAGCAACGCCGCGUUCGGGAUGACGGCCUUCGGGUUGUGAACCGCUUUCGCCUGUUACGAAGCGUGAGUGACGGUAAUGGGUAAAGAAGCACCGGCUAACUACGUG
Molecule: ribosomal RNA, 468 nt
Filed under: uncultured bacterium
Lineage: Bacteria
Description: partial 16S ribosomal RNA
Rfam family: Bacterial small subunit ribosomal RNA
Source: RNAcentral